UACGUAGGGUGCGAGCGUUUGUCCGGAAUUACUGGGCGUAAAGAGCUCGUAGGUGGUUUGUCGCGUUGUCCGUGAAAACUCACAACUCAAUUGUGGGCGUGCGGGCGAUACGGGCAGACUGGAGUACUGCAGGGGAGACUGGAAUUCCUGGUGUAGCGGUGGAAUGCGCAGAUAUCAGGAGGAACACCGAUGGCGAAGGCAGGUCUCUGGGCAUUAACUGACGCUGAGGAGCGAAAGCAUGGGGAGCGAACAGG
RNAcentral lists this ribosomal RNA (254 nucleotides) under uncultured bacterium. Its description in RNAcentral is "partial 16S ribosomal RNA". It matches the Rfam family "Bacterial small subunit ribosomal RNA", at positions 524 to 776 of the family's 1533-position model. The record is from RNAcentral.